RNAcentral lists this ribosomal RNA (290 nucleotides) under Flectobacillus sp. BAB-3569. RNAcentral's name for it is "Bacterial large subunit ribosomal RNA". It matches the Rfam family "Bacterial large subunit ribosomal RNA", at positions 2624 to 2925 of the family's 2925-position model. The record is from Rfam by way of RNAcentral. Lineage: Bacteria; Pseudomonadati; Bacteroidota; Cytophagia; Cytophagales; Flectobacillaceae.
AGACAGUUCGGUCCCUAUCUGUUGUGGGCGUAGGAAUAUUGACAGGUUCUGACUUUAGUACGAGAGGACCGAGUUGGACUGACCUCUGGUGUAUCAGUUGUCCUGCCAAGGGCAUAGCUGAGUAGCUACGUCGGGACCAGAUAAGCGCUGAAAGCAUCUAAGUGCGAAACUGACCUGAAGAUGAGUAUUCCAAAUAAGGGCCGUUGUAGAUGACAACGUUGAUAGGUUGCAGAUGUAUAGGUAGAGAUACCAGAGUCGAGCAAUACUAAUUACCCAAUAGCUUAUGAUAU